CUGCUGCCUCCCGUAGGAGUUUGGGCCGUGUCUCAGUCCCAAUGUGGCCGGCCACCCUCUCAGGUCGGCUACUGAUCGUCGCCUUGGUGGGCCGUUACCUCACCAACCAGCUAAUCAGACGCGGAUCCAUCCCAUACCACCGGAGUUUUUCACACCGGACCAUGCGGUCCUGUGCGCUUAUGCGGUAUUAGCAGUCAUUUCUAACUGUUAUCCCCCUGUAUGAGGCAGGUUAUCCACGCGUUACUCACCCGUCCGCCG
RNAcentral lists this ribosomal RNA (258 nucleotides) under uncultured bacterium. RNAcentral describes it as "partial 16S ribosomal RNA". The record is from RNAcentral.